AGAACGAACGCUGGCGGCGUGCUUAACACAUGCAAGUCGUACGAGAAACCGGAACUUCGGUUCCGGGAGUAAAGUGGCGCACGGGUGAGUAACGCGUAGGUAAUCUACCCUUGGGUUUGGAAUAACCCGCCGAAAGGCGUGCUAAUACCGGAUAAAAUCUUUCGGAGGGAUCUGAAAGAUCAAAGGUGGCCUCUCCAUGGAUGCUACCGCCUGAGGAUGAGCCUGCGUCCCAUUAGCUUGUUGGUAGGGUAAUGGCCUACCAAGGCUACGAUGGGUAGCUGGUCUGAGAGGAUGAUCAGUCACACUGGAACUGAAACACGGUCCAGACUCCUACGGGAGGCAGCAGUGAGGAAUAUUGCGCAAUGGGGGAAACCCUGACGCAGCGACGCCGCGUGGGCGAAGAAGGCCUUUGGGUCGUAAAGCCCUGUCUAGAGGGAAGAAAUUCUCAAUGGAAUAAUACCCAUUGAGAUUGACGGUACCUCUGGAGGAAGCACCGGCUAACUCCGUGCCAGCAGCCGCGGUAAUACGGAGGGUGCGAGCGUUGUUCGGAAUUACUGGGCGUAAAGCGGGUGUAGGCGGUUUGUUAAGUCAGAUGUGAAAGCCCACGGCUCAACCGUGGAAGUGCAUCUGAAACUGGCAGACUUGAGUACCGGAGAGGGAAGUGGAAUUCCUGGUGUAGGGGUGAAAUCCGUAGAUAUCAGGAGGAACACCGGUGGCGAAGGCGACUUCCUGGACGGAUACUGACGCUGAGAUCCGAAAGCGUGGGGAGCAAACAGGAUUAGAUACCCUGG
Molecule: ribosomal RNA, 791 nt
Filed under: uncultured bacterium
Lineage: Bacteria
Description: bacterial SSU rRNA
Rfam family: Bacterial small subunit ribosomal RNA
Source: RNAcentral